RNAcentral lists this ribosomal RNA (483 nucleotides) under uncultured bacterium. Its description in RNAcentral is "partial 16S ribosomal RNA". It matches the Rfam family "Bacterial small subunit ribosomal RNA", at positions 28 to 507 of the family's 1533-position model. The record is from RNAcentral.
GACGAACGCUGGCGGCGUGCUUAACACAUGCAAGUCGAACGCUGAAGCUCAGCUUUUGUUGGGUGGAUGAGUGGCGAACGGGUGAGUAACACGUGAGUAACCUGCCUCCAUCUUUGGGAUAACGCCCGGAAACGGGUGCUAAUACUGGAUAUUCACUGGUCUUCGCAUGGGGGUUGGUGGAAAGGGUUUUUCUGGUGGGGGAUGGGCUCGCGGCCUAUCAGCUUGUUGGUGGGGUGAUGGCCUACCAAGGCUUUGACGGGUAGCCGGCCUGAGAGGGUGACCGGUCACAUUGGGACUGAGAUACGGCCCAGACUCCGACGGGAGGCAGCAGUGGGGAAUAUUGCACAAUGGGCGCAAGCCUGAUGCAGCGACGCCGCGUGAGGGAUGGAGGCCUUCGGGUUGUGAACCUCUUUCGCUCAUGGUCAAGCCGCAACAAUGGUUGUGGUGAGGGUAGUGGGUAAAGAAGCGCCGGCUAACUACGUG